UUCUACCAUUAAUCAUCCCUCUUAGGUUCAUUACACUUGCAAGAAAUAGUUGGAAAAAACAACAGCCUGUCUCUGAAAAUACCAAUUGCCAUACAAACUGAAUUUCCGAAAGAAGAGAUUAAGCUCUUACUAUUUCCUAAGCAAACCUACCAAUAUAGGCAGGUGAGAUCAUACAAAGAUCUUCAAUUUCCAAACAGCUAUACAAAAAUCUGCAAAAGAGAUUCGUUCCGCAAGCCAUCAGCUGAACAACAAACCUGAGAAGGAAAAUAGUAGAUUUAUUAACAAAAAAAUGUUUACGCGAUUAAGAUUACUGGAGAAAUGGAGCGAUGAUCAUGCGAAAGUAACCUG
This 348-nucleotide long non-coding RNA is filed under the name Nicotiana benthamiana. RNAcentral describes it as "long non-coding RNA (NBEN_LNC001979)". Lineage: Eukaryota; Viridiplantae; Streptophyta; Magnoliopsida; Solanales; Solanaceae. The record is from RNAcentral.